RNAcentral lists this ribosomal RNA (285 nucleotides) under Melanoides amabilis. Its description in RNAcentral is "partial 16S ribosomal RNA". The record is from RNAcentral. Lineage: Eukaryota; Metazoa; Mollusca; Gastropoda; Thiaridae.
UAGCAUGAAUGGUCUGACGAAAGCAAUACUGUCUCUUCUUUAUUAUCUAGAAAUUAACCUAUGGGUGAAGAGGCCUAUAUUAUAUUGAAGGACAAGAAGACCCUGUCGAGCUUUAGAGUAAAGUAGGAAUAUAGAUAUUAAAAAGAUUAAUGACUACAUAACUCUUUAGUUGGGGCGACUAAGGAACAAAUAAAGCUUCUUUUAUUUCUGUAAAUCAAUAAGUUUAGAUCCAGCAAAGCUGAUUAAAAGAAUUAGUUACCGCAGGGAUAACAGCAUAAUCUCCUU